RNAcentral lists this long non-coding RNA (636 nucleotides) under Homo sapiens (human). RNAcentral's name for it is "non-protein coding lnc-CTIF-1:2". Lineage: Eukaryota; Metazoa; Chordata; Mammalia; Primates; Hominidae. The record is from RNAcentral.
GGACGCUCAGGCUUAGGUCAAAGCCAGGAGCUCCGGGAAACCUGGGUUCAGCCGCCACGCCCCACGGAGGGGACACACCCUUCCCUGCCUGAUGGCAGGGCCCAUGGUAGACAAAACCCAUGACCUCACCUCUCCUGGCUCCAGGGCUCAGCCCUGCCCACUUCUGGAGAAUUCCAUGACUCAGGUAACAGAGGAGGGGCCUAGCCAGUCUCAGAGCCAAGGUCACACCGCCCUACACCUUGCUGUCCCCACAGCAUCUGCAGGAGGAGCAUGCCAGGACCAGAGACCCAGGGAGCAGCCUCACCAGAGGGAAAAGAGCCUGUAGAGUGGUGAGCUCAGGCUCUGGAGUGAAUGGUGAUGGAGCCUUGGCUUGGUGUGCUGGACACUUGCUUGGUGCCCUGAGCCACCACGUCCAAGUCCAGCUACUGUGAGGUCCCAUGCUGGGAGGAAUCCCAGGCCCUAGGCCAGGUUCCAGCUGACAGCCCCGGCUGAAGUCCCAGACCACAGCCAGCGUCGCCCCCCAAGACCUGAGGGAAGACAUUCACGUCCAGGUCAUUUUGGCUCCAGCUUUGGAGACCUGCCAGUGAGCCCUAGACAUCAUGGACGGGGCAAGCUGCCCCUUCUGCGCCCUGUCCG